Molecule: ribosomal RNA, 348 nt
Filed under: Triticum aestivum (bread wheat)
Lineage: Eukaryota; Viridiplantae; Streptophyta; Magnoliopsida; Poales; Poaceae
Description: partial small subunit ribosomal RNA
Source: RNAcentral
AUGACACCUGUUUCACGACCACUGAACACUGACAUUUUGCUAGUGUCCGAGCUUAUUGAUCCUCAUACUUGGUCGUGGGGGCAGGAUCUAGUCAGAAGUAACUUCACUUCCACAGAUGAUGCGGCCAUUCUUAACAUACCUAUUCGGUCGGGCGGUGGCAAUGAUUUUCUUGCUUGGGCAUUUGAAAAAACAGGCAAUUACACUGUCAAAUCAGCGUACCGAUCUCUUGUGACUCAGAACGAGCAUUUGGCUCUAGAGGAAGGGACGGCUACCGGAACUUCAUUGAGUGAUCAACAGUUGUGGAAAGCCUUGUGGAAGUUGAAUGUUAUCCCAAAAGUUAGAGUGUUU